AUCCAGUUGACGAGUCCCAAGUAGGAUGAAACGCGAGUCCUGAAU
Molecule: non-coding RNA, 45 nt
Organism: Schistosoma rodhaini
Lineage: Eukaryota; Metazoa; Platyhelminthes; Trematoda; Strigeidida; Schistosomatidae
Source: Rfam